GCUGGGUGCGGUGGCGCAGGCCUGUAAUCCCAGUGGCUCAGGAGGCUGAGACAGGAGGAUCACGAGUUCACUAAAUUGCCUCAGCAAUUUAGUGAGGUCCUAGGCAACUCGGCCAGACCCUGUCUCUA
RNAcentral lists this small RNA (128 nucleotides) under Marmota monax (woodchuck). The record is from RNAcentral. Lineage: Eukaryota; Metazoa; Chordata; Mammalia; Rodentia; Sciuridae.